GGAUUCGACGCCGGUAUCGAAACCUUAGGUGCAUGUCGAGAGGGUAGUGACUCUCGUUAAUCAAUCGCUGCAACUUUAUAGUUGCCAACGACGAUAGCUACGCACUAGCAGCCUAAGAGCUUGCUAGCGAUUGCCACUUGGAUGUCCGUAAACAGGUGUUUUGCAAUUGUCAUAUAGAACGGAAUCGUCACCUAGCGCGCUUGACGCGAAGUGACUAAAAAAGUAUCAAGCUCGCCCAAAUCACCCUGCCCGUCGGGCGGAUACGGGUUAACUCAAUAGACGACGCUACACAUGUAGAGCCGAAGGCAGAGGACUGGUGGAGGCGG
RNAcentral lists this transfer-messenger RNA (326 nucleotides) under Pseudo-nitzschia fraudulenta. Its description in RNAcentral is "partial transfer-messenger RNA". It matches the Rfam family "transfer-messenger RNA". Rfam says of the family: Bacterial tmRNA, also known as 10Sa RNA or SsrA, is named for its dual tRNA and mRNA-like properties. Its role is to liberate the mRNA from a stalled ribosome. To accomplish this part of the tmRNA is used as a reading frame that ends in a translation stop signal. Lineage: Eukaryota; Bacillariophyta; Bacillariophyceae; Bacillariales; Bacillariaceae. The record is from RNAcentral.